UACGGGGGGGGUAAGCGUUGUUCGGAAUUACUGGGCGUAAAGGGCUCGUAGGCGGCCAACUAAGUCAGACGUGAAAUCCCUCGGCUUAACCGGGGAACUGCAUCUGAUACUGGAUGGCUUGAGAUUGGGAGAGGGAUGCGGAAUUCCAGGUGUAGCGGUGAAAUGCGUAGAUAUCUGGAGGAACACCGGUGGCGAAGGCGGCACCCUGGACCAACACUGACGCUGAGGAGCGAAAGCCAGGGGAGCAAACGGG
Molecule: ribosomal RNA, 253 nt
Filed under: uncultured bacterium
Lineage: Bacteria
Description: partial 16S ribosomal RNA
Rfam family: Bacterial small subunit ribosomal RNA
Source: RNAcentral